UGGGGAAUAUUGCACAAUGGGCGCAAGCCUGAUGCAGCCAUGCCGCGUGUGUGAAGAAGGCCUUCGGGUUGUAAAGCACUUUCAGCGAGGAGGAAGGUGGUGAGCUUAAUACGCUCACUACAUUGACGUUACUCGCAGAAGAAGCACCGGCUAACUCCGUGCCAGCAGCCGCGGUAAUACGGAGGGUGCAAGCGUUAAUCGGAAUUACUGGGCGUAAAGCGCACGCAGGCGGUUUGUUAAGUCAGAUGUGAAAUCCCCGGGCUCAACCUGGGAACUGCAUUUGAAACUGGCAAGCUAGAGUCUCGUAGAGGGGGGUAGAAUUCCAGGUGUAGCGGUGAAAUGCGUUAGAGAUCUGGAGGAAUACCGGUGGCGAAGGCGGCCCCCUGGACGAAGACUGACGCUCAGGUGCGAAAGCGUGGGAGCAAACA
This 428-nucleotide ribosomal RNA is filed under the name uncultured Serratia sp. Its description in RNAcentral is "bacterial SSU rRNA". It matches the Rfam family "Bacterial small subunit ribosomal RNA", at positions 355 to 774 of the family's 1533-position model. Lineage: Bacteria; Pseudomonadati; Pseudomonadota; Gammaproteobacteria; Enterobacterales; Yersiniaceae. The record is from RNAcentral.